UACAGAGGGUGCGAGCGUUGUCCGGAAUCACUGGGCGUAAAGGGCGCGUAGGUGGUGGCUUAAGCGUGCGGUGAAAGCUCGGGGCUCAACCCCGAGUCGGCCGUGCGGACUGGGUUCACUGGAGCAUAGUAGAGGCAGGUGGAAUUCCGGGUGUAGCGGUGGAAUGCGUAGAGAUCCGGAAGAACACCGGUGGCGAAGGCGGCCUGCUGGGCUAUGGCUGACACUGAGGCGCGACAGCGUGGGGAGCAAACAGG
RNAcentral lists this ribosomal RNA (254 nucleotides) under uncultured bacterium. Its description in RNAcentral is "partial 16S ribosomal RNA". It matches the Rfam family "Bacterial small subunit ribosomal RNA", at positions 524 to 776 of the family's 1533-position model. The record is from RNAcentral.